CGUCAGGAGCUACAUCCUCCCUACAUCUCACACACGAGAGGACAUCUUAACCCUCCUUGAACUCACACUUAGGAAACCCAGCUCAACUGGCAGCCCCAGGAGCAGCCCCAGGAGCAGCCCCUCUCUCCAGUUGUAGGCUGUAAAUACUACUGCCGUGCCCAACUUCAAGAUAUCAACAUGAAGUCCCUGAGCCCGGAGCUGGGAAGAGGAAUUUAUCAGAAAAGUGCAACUUGAAAUCUGCUGAGGAGUUCUGAGAAAGUUUUCCUUCUAGAAAAAAACAACAACAAAAAGUUAUGUGGGAGGAAACAGUCCCAUGUUCUUCUGCUCUACUGGAUGAAUGUGCAUGCAGUGUGAUGCCUGGAGCAGUGGCAGCCAUUUUCAACUACGAGGUUACAAAACAGAGGACAAAGUCUACACACUGAGGAAGGCAGAGCGAAGAGAUGGAAAGAACAUAGGGCCUUCACGACAGUACGGAACCUCUGUAGCUACCAACCCAGGGCCACCGAUCUCAAUUUCUUGUUUUGUGAGAUAAUCAAUCUCUCUCUACUAGAACAUAGAAUCCAUGAAGGCAGAAUUUUGUUUUCGUUUUCCUUUUUUUUCUUUAUGGUCUGUCUUAAUUACUGCCAUAGUAAAUGAUAGGUGAAUGUUUGUUAAAUAAA
Long non-coding RNA from Myotis myotis, 659 nucleotides. RefSeq lists it as uncharacterized. The transcript has 3 exons. The record is from RefSeq and is a predicted model, not a curated record. NCBI's taxonomy places the organism in Eukaryota, Metazoa, Chordata, Mammalia, Chiroptera, Vespertilionidae.